UACGGGAGGGUCGCAAGCGUUAAUCGGAAUUACUGGGCGUAAAGGGUUCGUAGGUGGUAUGUUAAGUCAGAUGUGAAAGCCCAGGGCUCAACCUUGGAACUGCAUUUGAUACUGGCAAACUAGAGUAUGGUAGAGGAAUGGGGAAUUUCCGGUGUAGCGGUGAAAUGCGUAGAGAUCGGAAGGAACACCAAUGGCGAAGGCAACAUUCUGGACCAAUACUGACACUGAGGGACGAAAGCGUGGGGAUCAA
RNAcentral lists this ribosomal RNA (250 nucleotides) under uncultured bacterium. RNAcentral's name for it is "partial 16S ribosomal RNA". It matches the Rfam family "Bacterial small subunit ribosomal RNA", at positions 522 to 771 of the family's 1533-position model. The record is from RNAcentral.